CCUACGGGGGGCAGCAGUGGGGAAUAUUGGACAAUGGGGGCAACCCUGAUCCAGCCAUGCCGCGUGUGUGAAGAAGGCCCUCGGGUUGUAAAGCACUUUCAGUGAGGAAGAACGCCUGGUGGUUAAUACCCAUCAGGAAAGACAUCACUCACAGAAGAAGCACCGGCUAACUCCGUGCCAGCAGCCGCGGUAAUACGGAGGGUGCGAGCGUUAAUCGGAAUUACUGGGCGUAAAGCGCGCGUAGGUGGCUUGAUAAGCCGGUUGUGAAAGCCCCGGGCUCAACCUGGGAACGGCAUCCGGAACUGUCAAGCUAGAGUGCAGGAGAGGAUGGUAGAAUUCCCGGUGUAGCGGUGAAAUGCGUAGAGAUCGGGAGGAAUACCAGUGGCGAAGGCGGCCUUCUGGACUGACACUGACACUGAGGUGCGAAAGCGUGGGUAGCAAACAGGAUUAGAUACCCGAGUAGUC
Molecule: ribosomal RNA, 465 nt
Filed under: Vreelandella stevensii
Lineage: Bacteria; Pseudomonadati; Pseudomonadota; Gammaproteobacteria; Oceanospirillales; Halomonadaceae
Description: partial 16S ribosomal RNA
Rfam family: Bacterial small subunit ribosomal RNA
Source: RNAcentral